CUUAUUGCUAGAUCAGAUGGAGGCCCCUGAGAAUCUCCUGCAGAGUAGACGACACAAGGGCAGGCUUUAAAAAUGCAAUGACAUUACCUACUUAGCUCUUUGUCUCUUGCGAAAGUUGGGAAACCGUCAUAAAACCUACGCCUUCCUGGGAAACUUUUGCCUGCCAAGAUGAAUCUGGUUUUGCAACUCACGUCCAUCUAUGGAAUGUCCAGGAGGGCCGAGGACUGAGUGGACUUAUUUGGCUGUCCAGAUGUAGGCUACCAGAUCUAGAGAGAAAUGUACAGCUCAGGCUUUUGGAAAUAGGCUACUCCGCUCACUCUCAGUCUGACUACCUGACACAUCUCCGAGUGUGAAGUCGCAGUAUACCAAAUGUACAGCAGAGGGCGUAAUGCCCCAUCUGAUACGAUAACAUAGCCAAAGGUUCAUCAAAAUAAAGUUAUCCUUCUUAACCAUUACGUUCCAGUCUUUGUUUACAGAUAGACCUACUGCAACACGACAUUUAGGCUAUUUAAUUGAUUCCUGAUUUCUCUGGUGACACAAGGUGACACAAGGUGCACAAGAGGCAUGCAGAUGUGUAUUAAGCAUCUGUCUGGCACCACGCAGUGACUCAGU
Long non-coding RNA from Sardina pilchardus (European sardine), 612 nucleotides. RefSeq lists it as uncharacterized. The record is from RefSeq and is a predicted model, not a curated record. Lineage: Eukaryota; Metazoa; Chordata; Actinopteri; Clupeiformes; Clupeidae. The transcript has 3 exons.